GUAAAUGAUGCCUUGAUAACUCGCAGAUAACUGCCCCACCGCCAAACGUGAGUAGGGUAGUCUCAAUUCGUUACCCCUUCGUGUGUUGUAGUUAUGGCACAUAUUAUUUUUUGUGUAGUGAGAUUAAUUUUUUUUAAUACUUACAGCUACUACAUAUAUGUAUAGGCAGGGAAGAGUAAGUAUGAACAGCUGAGUGAAUGUUUUCUUACAUGAUUCUUUAUACUGAAGUCCAGCUAGGUAUCUUAUCACUUUUUUUUGGAGUUCAAAUGGUUUCAUGGCAUGAACUGAGUUUCCCCAGAAGGGCAAUCCCUAAGAUAAAAUAGACUGCACAAGUCCAUAGUAUAUUCAUUUUAGCACUUCCAGCGAGACAGUUCCACGUAAUUGUUUCAUUACAAAACAUAUGCUGCUCAGUUUUGUUACUAUAUUUUCUAUUUGUAGGUACUUCCCAUAUUAGUUUUUGAUCGAUGGUUAGACUGUGUGGAAAUGUGUUUUUGCUGGAAUAUCAUAAAUACCAUUUUGAUGACAUUUACUGUUAACCCAUUUGCUGUUUCUAUGGAAAGAGAUCACUCAUGAAGAGUAUGAAAAUAUUUGGAGCCAGGAUUGAACCCUGCGGAACUCCCAUUGUAACAGAAGGAGGAUGUGACUUCAUCGAAUCAACCAUUACCACUUGUGUCCUAUUUUUUAUAUAUGAGGCAACCCUGUCAUUAUCAACUCCCCUGAUUCCAAUUUUGAGCAGUUAAAUAAAAAAAUAGGCCAACUGG
Leptinotarsa decemlineata (Colorado potato beetle) is the source of this 761-nucleotide long non-coding RNA. Lineage: Eukaryota; Metazoa; Arthropoda; Insecta; Coleoptera; Chrysomelidae. The record is from RefSeq and is a predicted model, not a curated record.